RNAcentral lists this ribosomal RNA (450 nucleotides) under uncultured Archaeospora. RNAcentral describes it as "SSU rRNA". It matches the Rfam family "Eukaryotic small subunit ribosomal RNA", at positions 569 to 1022 of the family's 1831-position model. The record is from RNAcentral. Lineage: Eukaryota; Fungi; Glomeromycota; Glomeromycetes; Archaeosporales; Archaeosporaceae.
AGCAGCCGCGAUAAUUCCAGCUCCAAUAGCGUAUAUUAAAGUUGUUGCAGUUAAAAAGCUCGUAGUUGAAUUUUGGAUUCGGCCAAUUGGUCCAUCUUUUAGAUGAGUACUGGUUGUGUUGGGUCUAUCCGCCUGGUGAUACGUAAUGUCCUUUAUUGGAUGUUGCGGGUAGUCAGGACCUUUACCUUGAAAAAUUAGAGUGUUUAAAGCAGGCCUAUGCCGGAAUACAUUAGCAUGGAAUAAUAGAAUAGGACGAAGUUGUUUUAUUUUGUUGGUUUCUAGGACAACCGUAAUGAUUAAUAGGGAUAGUUGGGGGCAUUAGUAUUCAAUUGUCAGAGGUGAAAUUCUUGGAUUUAUUGAAGACUAACUACUGCGAAAGCAUUUGCCAAGGAUGUUUUCAUUAAUCAAGAACGAAAGUUAGGGGAUCGAAGACGAUCAGAUACCGUCGUA